UGGCUCAGAUGGUAAAGUGUCUGCCUGCAAUGCGGGAGACCCAGGUUUGAUUCCUGG
Molecule: transfer RNA, 57 nt
Filed under: Ovis aries (sheep)
Lineage: Eukaryota; Metazoa; Chordata; Mammalia; Artiodactyla; Bovidae
Rfam family: tRNA
About the family: Transfer RNA (tRNA) molecules are approximately 80 nucleotides in length. Their secondary structure includes four short double-helical elements and three loops (D, anti-codon, and T loops). Further hydrogen bonds mediate the characteristic L-shaped molecular structure. tRNAs have two regions of fundamental functional importance: the anti-codon, which is responsible for specific mRNA codon recognition, and the 3' end, to which the tRNAs corresponding amino acid is attached (by aminoacyl-tRNA synthetases). tRNAs cope with the degeneracy of the genetic code in two manners: having more than one tRNA (with a specific anti-codon) for a particular amino acid; and 'wobble' base-pairing, i.e. permitting non-standard base-pairing at the 3rd anti-codon position.
Source: Rfam by way of RNAcentral